UGUUGUUGAUAUUUUGGGUGCCGUGCCUGAUAAUGGAAUCGCUAAUAUUCUAGAAACUUGUUUACGCCAAAAAACGUUCAUACGCUCGCUUACAUAUUGGGAUCGUAUAUACACACAUAUAAAUCCUACAUGCAUGUAUGCGAGAAAUCAGAUUGGAAGGUGGAAAGGGCUAACGGGGAUGGGAAAUUUUGUUAUUAGAAAUGAAAACUCACCUUGAACGCAGGCCAUCGUCAAGGGCAUUGGAAAUGCCUUCCUCAAUGGUGGGCAGGUCGGAGGAGAAGCGAUUGAUCGGGCGCAAGACGCGCAGCGUGCGACUGGACAACUUCCAGACAAGCCGUUGCUUGUAGGGCGCCUUGUUCUGACCAUUGUAGUGGGACAGAAUGCCCGAAACACU
This is a long non-coding RNA of Drosophila miranda, 394 nucleotides long. RefSeq lists it as uncharacterized. The record is from RefSeq and is a predicted model, not a curated record. The transcript is spliced from 2 exons. Lineage: Eukaryota; Metazoa; Arthropoda; Insecta; Diptera; Drosophilidae.